This is a non-coding RNA of Bactrocera oleae (olive fruit fly), 2865 nucleotides long. The record is from RefSeq and is a predicted model, not a curated record. Lineage: Eukaryota; Metazoa; Arthropoda; Insecta; Diptera; Tephritidae.
UUGGCAAUAUUGAUUGCAAUAAAGUUGUAUGGCCACAUCGAUUGCCUGUCGAGAAAUCGAGUUAGGCUUUUGACAAUUUGUGAUAUUAUUUUACCCUACCGUUCACAAAUUCAAAAUAAAAAAGAGUGGUUUUUAUAUACUUAAUUAAUCAUAAACCUCAAAAAAGUCAGAUGGUGUAUAAAAUGUGUUUUAUAAAACUUGUUGAAAUAUAAGAUUUACCAGCACGAACUAACCGGCCAUGACGUCCUUGAAACUUACCCAAUUAUAUUUGUCGGAGGUAAAACAAGAUAUAUUUGUGGACUUUGACUUAAUAUCCAGCGAAAAUCUGAUAGCAUUACAAUGUUCCAAUAACCAGCUGAUUAUAUUGGAUCUUUUAGAUUUAUCAACAGAGUUAACUGAUUUGCCAUAUAAUUUAUACUACGUUAAAAUUCCUCAAACCUAUAACUUGGAACCCUUAAAGAAAAACGAAUUGAAACAAUCUUAUAAUGACUCCACUUUGUUGGAACAGCAUCGGCAAGUAUUACAGUCAGCAUAUAUGGCAAAAUUUUCUUGUGAAACUCUGAAAGUAAAUGCUUUGCAAUUUAAACGGCCACCAUGGAAUACACCGACCGCAGAAUCAGUUGCUGUUAUUGUAACUAACAGUGGGUUGUGUCAAAUAUUAAUAAAGAUGACUGCUCCAAGUCGUCAUUGGAAUGAAAUAUGCAAUGUUAAUGAAUUUUUUUUUAAUGAAAAAUUAUCCUCCAAAAUCAAAGGACUCACAAGAAGACAUGCUGUUGACUGCUACAUAACUGCAGCUGCUUGGCAUCAAAAGGAACCAAUAUUAUUGGUAUCGUUUGAGAAUGGAUAUAUAGCAAUUAUUUUGUUCCAAGAUGCAAAAAGUGCAAAUAUAAAAGACAUUUGUAUAACAAAAACACUCGAAAAAAUAUAUGACAUAAAUUUAUUUGACAAUUUUUUGCUUAUUGGUACUAGAGAUGGUAUUUUGCAAUUAUUUUCAGUAAAUCUAAUGAAUGAUAUGCCUAUUAUAACUCCAUUGGAAGAUUUAUGGAAUAAAAAAGAUAAUAUAGUUUGCAGCAAAGUAAUUGUAAAUAAGUUUUCUGCCAGUAUAUAUCUAGUCGCUUUUAAUAAAGGUCCUAAUAUAAUCCUAUACUCGUUGACUACUAAAGGUGAAGUUAUGCAUUGUAAAGAGCUGCAUAUUGGUGGGAUAAAAGUAACAGGAAUCCAAUUCAUAUCCCCCUCUGAUUUUAUCGUCACUACCAUUACGAAUGAUGUGAGUUAUUUUCAAAUAAACUUCGUGGAUCAAAGAGAAUUUGAAAUAAUUGAACAAAGUAUUGACACCGAUUUCAAAACCUCAAACGUAGGAAUUCUUGGUACACUCCCAUCAUCAAACACAAGUGUAUUGACCUUUAUAUUAUUUCGUAAUGGGGAAUAUACACAACAAUGUAAAUAUAUGCAUAGUAGUAUAUUUAUAAAUAUUGCAAAAUUGGAAAGACUCGGCUACCCAAUCCAAUCAACAAUAACUAGCAAAAAUGUAAUUAAUUCAAGUACCGAUAAUGCAACUAUCUUGGGAAUGGAUGUAUUUAAUAAUAUGCAAUAUGACAAUUACUGUUCUCUUACGGAUAUCAUAAAUACUCAAUUACCUGCCGUUUUGGAUGAAAGCUUUUUACGUCAACUUCAAACAAAAUUUGUAUUUGUUUCGAAUUUCCUAAGCUAUCAAAGGUAAGAUAUAUCAGUAAAGAAAUUUAUCUAGAUGAGUUCCCUUAAAUAUGAUUUAAUAUUUUUUCUUUUGUAUUCAGUUCUAAAUUAGACAUUUUUACUCUGUGUCAUACCAACUCAUGUUUUGAAUACAAACACGACAGCACAACACACAAUUUCGUUGUUGCCGUACUAAAACUUUUCACUUAAAUGAAAUUUAAAUAUUUUAUUCAAAGUGAUUUUGUGCAAAAGAUAAGUAAAUGUCGAUUCAUUUGUUUUAAUUAUCAAUUGUUAUUACAAAUGGUAUAUCAGACCUAUUUUAUGCUUCUGCUGGUAAAAUAACGUUAGACUAGUUAGAGCUUUGAAUAAUUUUACAUUUACAAUACAUACAAAACUGUUUUUAAUUUAGCGACAGCGACAACUACAAGCCUCUGCCGUGAAGACGUGCUGCUAUCUAAAUAACUGUGUCCAUAAGAACCUGUUUAUUUUAAUUUUUGAUAGAUGCUGCCUGUCGCUAAUUGGUUGAUUGCCAUAUGUUUGCGCUAUUUUAUCGUUGAAACAGCUUAAAAUUUUAAUUACAUUUUGCACUUCAAAUACUUAUUUAAGACUUCAAAAAUAUUUCGACUUAAAAUAAUUUCUUUAUUAUUAAUCAAAAAAAUUUCAAUAGAAAAUAGGCGAGUAUUUGUUGUGAAAAAAACUAUUGACAAAAGUUUUGUGAGCGAGCGAGUAUUUGUUUGGAAAAAAAUAAUAAGUUAAAAUUUUCUUAACUUAAAGAAGGCCGAGAGAACUAGUAUACUGUCACCGCUAGUAAAAAGCAGGUUCCAUUUAUUUAUCAUACAGAAGAAUUAGAAACUUGUGAUAAAUUUUUAAGAAUAUGGUUUCUUAAAUGACAGACUUGCGCAGUUUAUAGCUUCACAUUAAAAAUGUAACAGAUCCUGUAUCUCUUAAUACAGAUUUAACAGAUAAUGAUUGUAAUAAGAAACGCAAGAAAACAGGAAUAUAAUUAAUGAUUUUAUUAAUAUUUUCUCUGUAAGUACAACGAUUUGGGUUUUAUGACGUCAACGCUUGUAAUCUUUUUACUAUUAACCCUAAUACCAAUUGAAUAAAUUUUACAAAUGUUAAAAAUAUAAAUAGUUUGUCAAAUACCUGGUACACUACUUUAUCGUAUAUACA